RNAcentral lists this ribosomal RNA (253 nucleotides) under uncultured bacterium. RNAcentral's name for it is "partial 16S ribosomal RNA". It matches the Rfam family "Bacterial small subunit ribosomal RNA", at positions 524 to 776 of the family's 1533-position model. The record is from RNAcentral.
UACGUAGGGCGCAAGCGUUGUCCGGAAUUAUUGGGCGUAAAGAGCUCGUAGGCGGUUUGUCACGUCGGAUGUGAAAGCCCGGGGCUUAACUCCGGGUCUGCAUUCGAUACGGGCAGACUAGAGUGUGGUAGGGGAGAUCGGAAUUCCUGGUGUAGCGGUGAAAUGCGCAGAUAUCAGGAGGAACACCGGUGGCGAAGGCGGAUCUCUGGGCCAUUGCUGACGCUGAGGAGCGAAAGCGUGGGGAGCGAACAGG